Molecule: ribosomal RNA, 492 nt
Filed under: uncultured bacterium
Lineage: Bacteria
Description: partial 16S ribosomal RNA
Rfam family: Bacterial small subunit ribosomal RNA
Source: RNAcentral
AGUGAACGCUGGCGGUAGGCCUAACACAUGCAAGUCGAACGGCAGCACAGUAAGAGCUUGCUCUUACGGGUGGCGAGUAGCGGACGGGUGAGGAAUACAUCGGAAUCUACUUUUUCGUGGGGGAUAACGUAGGGAAACUUACGCUAAUACCGCAUACGACCUACGGGUGAAAGCAGGGGAUCUUCGGACCUUGCGCGAUUGAAUGAGCCGAUGUCGGAUUAGCUAGUUGGCAGGGUAAAGGCCCACCAAGGCGACGAUCCGUAGCUGGUCUGAGAGGAUGAUCAGCCACACUGGAACUGAGACACGGUCCAGACUCCUACGGGAGGCAGCAGUGGGGAAUAUUGGACAAUGGGCGCAAGCCUGAUCCAGCCAUACCGCGUGAGUGAAGAAGGCCUUCGGGUUGUAAAGCCCUUUUGUUGGGAAAGAAAAGCAGCAGGUUAAUACCCCGCUGUUCUGACGGUACCCAAAGAAUAAGCACCGGCUAACUUCGUG